This 2494-nucleotide long non-coding RNA is filed under the name Mus musculus (house mouse). RNAcentral describes it as "predicted gene, 35934". The record is from RNAcentral. Lineage: Eukaryota; Metazoa; Chordata; Mammalia; Rodentia; Muridae.
GUGUCCAUGGCCAGCAUCCCAUGUCCGCAGAUGCCUGGAAAGCAGAAGCCAGAGGAAUGCCAGCUAGAGAGACAUCAAAGUCAGCCACGCCCCCAAAAGCAUGGCUCUGACCUAGCUCUCUUAUUUUCAAACCUCUCUUCCCUUCCCAGGCAAGACGGUAAACUUGGUCUCUUAAAGCUGGUUUCUUCAAUGACUAGUAGAACAUAGAGAUUCCAUCUUCUACUGAACACAGAAGUCAUUUCCAAUACUCGCUGUGGAAAUUCCCUGUCUCUCUGCUUCCCAGAUGCUGGUAUUACAGAUAUCAGUCCCAAUGACAUGUCUGUAAAUCAGGACAGCCGAUACCGUUAUGGUGCGGAAGCUUGUAGGAAGACUUCCUAGACAAAGAAAAUGGCUGUCAAUUACUGAAGGAGUACAUACAUGGCCAUCCCAGACUCUCUUGUCUAGGUCUUAGAUUCUACCAUGCAUUUUACAUAUACAGCACAGCUCAUAUCAUCUCGACACUGCAUCUCCAUAGGACUGCUGGAAAGUGCUGCUGUGCAUCGUGGAGCGGCUUAGGGUCUCAGGAAAGCAGUAGGGAGCUGUAAUCUGAAUAACCCAGAGCUCAGUGGAAAAGAGGCUUAUGGAGGAGGGCUAAAGAUAAAAGAGGCAGAUUAGACAGGAAGAACCACAACUUGGGCUUGCUGGGCAGCAGGUGGCAGACAUGAUUGAAGACAGACAGUCCUAGGCUUUAGGGCCAUGUAACCAAAACACUUGAGAGAAAACUACAUACAAGAAUGUACUGCUGUCAGCCAUGUGACAAUGCCCAUGUCUUAAGAUGUGUGGGUUCAGAAAGAAGUGAUGUGCUUGACACAGGAUCCAGCCAUAACCCCAUGUGUCCUGAACAUCAAGACUGUGAGGCCAAGUUGAGCUUAGCUUCUAACACCAGAUGCACUAAUGACUGGAGCAGGCCAGUCAUAAAACAGACCAGGAAAGAAACAUAUACAUCAAGUUAGAUGAGCACCAGCCAAUUAGAAAGGGAGGCGACUGGGACAGCUCUGGGAAGAGGAGAAAAGAGCAGAGCCAAGGGUUCUACAUCCAGACUUGGACCAGAUCGCUGUGUUGGAGUUAUGUAUGGGUCUGUUCCCCUUGUUUCAAUGUUUAGAGACAGAGAAGGGGCCGACCCAGCACUACACAAGAGAAUGCUAACAUCCACCGGGGGAAGGGGCAGAGGGGAGGGGUGGGCAGAUGCUGUUUGGGAUUGAUCUUUGUGUGCAUGAACAUGUUCUACUUCAUCCCACAAUGCCUGGUGUGCAGUGUCACAUUCCACAUUAGACCAGCAUAGAAGACCCAUAACAAAAGUACUAGGAGCAGUGGGACCUGGCGGUGCAUGUCCACUGUCAUUGUCAGUCCUUAAGGAAUUAUGGCAGGAGGAGCAUGAGUUCAAGGCUGGCCCAGGCUAUGUAAAGAAAAGCAUGUAUCAAAAUGAAAAGGUUAUGUGCUCAAGGAUGAAAUAAAAUGUGGAAACAGAUGUGAGCAAAGGGGGUUGCAGCAAAUGCUAGAACUGGGAUCAUCUUGCAGCCCAGUUUCCCACUGCUUCCUGUCGGAGCACAGAACUGCUGGGUCCAACAGCUGAUGCUUGCAGCUCAGAAGGGGAGGGGCACCAGCGUGAGUACAUCACACCAACUACUUCAAUGGAUCCUUACAAUGGAAGGCUGAACUUAGUGAUACCAUCCAUUUUUCCUUUCUAGUUUCUAGGAAACUGAGGCAGACACAGGAAGACAAUUGACAGCUUUCCUCAGCUGGCUGGUGGCAAGACAGGGAUCCAGCCCCGCCAACUCCAUAUUUCACAGUACCUGAUCCAGAGGUGGGACUCCCCAAAUUGCCCCCACAAAUGAGACAUACCGAUAAGAGUGUGAGGCUGGAGAGAUAGUGAUGACAUGUACUCAAUGCUCUUCCAGGGGACCCAAGAUCAGUUCCCAACACCUAUUCCAGGCAGUUCACAACAGCCUGACACUCUAGAGCCGGGGAUCUUAUGCCCCCUUCUGGCCUGUAUGGGUGUUGCACUCAUGUGCACAAACCCAUUUAAAUCACCUAAUUAAAAAAAGAUGUGACCUUCAUGUGCCACCAUCCCCCAGAGCUAUCCUUCAGACUUCUUAAGCACCAUGCUCACUGCAUCUGCCGAAAUCUGAACCAGGUGCAAGGUAGAGGAGAUGAAGGUGGGUGUGUUCAUGGGACAGUGGAAGUCACUUUCUUUCACACUAUUACUAGUGUGCUCACUAGUGAUAGUGGCUCACUAGUGGGCACUCUAGCUUCAUCAGUGAACUACAGGCUUAGUGACACUGCUCACCAAUUUUGCCUUACAGUAGAUAAGAAAUGUUGGCAUGUCCUUAUUCAGCACCUAAGCAGACAAUGCACUCCAUAGACAUUGGGAGGGAAUAGAUCUGGAGUGGUUGCAGAACAACACUGUGACACAGCUUUCUCACUAUUGCCUGUUUUUCUACUAAGAUUAAACUUC